ACUGCAAUCUCAACUGGUAAUUUUGUUCAGUUCAGUAAAAAUAGAAUUAAAAACCGUGUGUAACAAAACAAAAGUAUCAAGGAAAAUGAACAAAGUGCUCGCGAUUUUUGCCAUAGGCUGUUUAUUCAAUGUUUCCCUUUCAGCUCGCUUGCCACGUGACGCCGAUACCAAUGAUUCAAGCAGCAGCAGUAAGAAAAAUAUUUUCCUCCCCCAAAUAUUCACACUGGUGAUCGAAAAUAUUGCUGUGAAAAAGACAAUCACUUUGACUGAAGCUCAAAAAUCAAGUGUAUCCGAAAUUUUGAUGAAAGGCUGGAACAAAUCUGCCAGAUUUGGCCGGACAAGAACGACGUCACACUUCAAGAUAUUGAAAAAUUGAAAACAGAACUAACAGCCGUUAUUCCAUCAGAAGUUGCUGAAGAAGUAAGCAGUAUGAUGUCAAAAUUUACAAAGGACGCAUCAUCUGAUGAAGCUUUCGAAGGAAUGCUCCGUAUGUUCAUUCUUCUACUUGAAUCAGUUAAACGCUUAGAUUAUGAACUUAGUUGAUGCAGUUUGUACCUAAAAGAAGGAAGCGACCAGCGCUACGAACAAGGCAACUAGGCGCACAUUUUUACUUUUCCAAAUUGUCCAAAAUCUAAAAAAUUCCAUUUGAAAAUAAAUAAAAUC
Long non-coding RNA from Bradysia coprophila, 663 nucleotides. RefSeq lists it as uncharacterized. NCBI's taxonomy places the organism in Eukaryota, Metazoa, Arthropoda, Insecta, Diptera, Sciaridae. The record is from RefSeq and is a predicted model, not a curated record.